CACGUAGGGUGCGAGCGUUGUCCGGAAUUAUUGGGCGUAAAGAGCGCGCAGGCGGUCGAUCAAGUCGAGUGUGAAAGCCCCCGGCUCAACUGGGGAGGGUCAUUCGAUACUGAUCGACUCGAAGGCAGGAGAGGGUAGUGGAAUUCCCGGUGUAGUGGUGAAAUGCGUAGAUAUCGGGAGGAACACCAGUGGCGAAGGCGACUACCUGGCCUGUUCUUGACGCUGAGGCGCGAAAGCUAGGGGAGCAAACGGG
This 253-nucleotide ribosomal RNA is filed under the name uncultured bacterium. RNAcentral describes it as "partial 16S ribosomal RNA". It matches the Rfam family "Bacterial small subunit ribosomal RNA", at positions 524 to 776 of the family's 1533-position model. The record is from RNAcentral.